GCAGGUGGUCUUUUUUGACAAAAAAUCUCCUCCUCCAUCCUCGUCUUCCCCUCCGCCAUGAAGGAGGUCGCACCCUCCUCCUCCACGCUCCACUUCCCCUCUGACAUGAACGAGGACGAACCCUCCUCCUCCACCCUCCUCUUCCCCUCCGCCAUGAACGAGGUCAGACCAGGCGUGGUUUUGGAUCUCGACGAUCCUCCUAGUCGCUACAACAGAUUGGGGAAAGUCACUACCGUCGGGGUGGAGCAGGGAAUCGGAUGCGGAGGUGCUGAAAAGGAGGCGGGGGUGGAUCUUGGCAGUCAUCUCCGCUGUCGGUCGGGGCGGAGCAGAGCAUCCCGGGCGCAAGGGGUGCUGAAAAGGAGGCGGCGGUCGGUCUUGGGAGCUCGUCGGCACUCACGGCCAUGUGCCUCUCGCCCGGUAAUCUCAGAUCCAGAACGGAGACAUCGUUCCUUUUUACGUGUAUGACUUGAUGCACUUGAGGGGAAACAAUGGUGUCCGCCCGAGGCAAUUCAUUGAGACUAUCGAUGACGACUGAGAAAAAAUGUGCCUAUGCAUGAUAUGGGGGCUGUCAAACAUGCGUCUGGUGCAAAUAAUCAAGAAAAAAAAGAUCCGUUAUGUACCCUUUUGUUGCGAUUUGGAAUCUUGGUAUGCAAACACUACUGUUUGCUUUAAUCAACAAUUUGAUCUGUUGUGUAUCCUUUUGUUGUUGGACCUAUAUUUCUCUUAUGAUCUUAUUCUGAACGCAAGAAGCUUUUGAAUAUGUGUGUGGAUGACUACUGUUUUUUCUCUCAUUGUCCAUUAC
RNAcentral lists this ribosomal RNA (802 nucleotides) under Triticum aestivum (bread wheat). Its description in RNAcentral is "partial small subunit ribosomal RNA". The record is from RNAcentral. Lineage: Eukaryota; Viridiplantae; Streptophyta; Magnoliopsida; Poales; Poaceae.